Molecule: ribosomal RNA, 497 nt
Filed under: uncultured bacterium
Lineage: Bacteria
Description: partial 16S ribosomal RNA
Rfam family: Bacterial small subunit ribosomal RNA
Source: RNAcentral
GAUGAACGCUGGCGGCGUGCCUAAUACAUGCAAGUCGAGCGAACAGACGAGGAGCUUGUUCCUUUGACGUUAGCGGCGGACGGGUGAGUAACACGUGGGUAACCUACCUAUAAGACUGGGAUAACUUCGGGAAACCGGAGCUAAUACCGGAUAAUAUUUCUAACCGCAUGGUUCGAUAGUGAAAGAUGGCUUUGCUUUCACUUAUAGAUGGACCUCCGCCGUUUUAGCUGGUGGGUAAGGUAACGCCUUACAAAGGCAACGAAACGUAGCCGACCUGGGAGGGGGUCCGGCCAAAUUGGACCUGGGACCGGCCCCAGCCUCCUCCGGGAGGAACAAGAAGGGAAUCUUCCGCAAGGGGGGAAGGCCUGACGGAGCAACGCGGGGUGAGUGAUGAGGGUCUUCGGAUCGUAAAACUCUGUUAUUAGGGAAGAACAAAGGUGUAAGUAACUGUGCACGUCUUGACGGUACCUAAUCAGAAAGCCACGGCUAACUACGUG